Molecule: long non-coding RNA, 3136 nt
Organism: Elaeis guineensis (African oil palm)
Lineage: Eukaryota; Viridiplantae; Streptophyta; Magnoliopsida; Arecales; Arecaceae
Source: RefSeq, a predicted model, not a curated record
UAUUUGCAUAUGAAUUCAGAAAUCUAAUUUGGUUCUUUUAAUUUAAAUAAAGGAUCCAGAAACUCCCUUGGUAAGUUUAGCUGCAUGUUAUUAGUUUUUCAUUAUCAAGCGCUGUGUCAAGUUGUUUUUAUUUGACAAGGAAAGCUGAACAAACAUUUCAUAAUAAAGUGUGGCUGAAAGAUGUGUGGUAGGAUAGUUGGUGUAUACUUCUCAAAAUUCUUGAAAUUCCGAUUUCUGAAAUUCUCGCCGAAUUGCUGAGGUGGUAUCAGCCCUGUCCUACCCAACUCGUCCCUAAUGCUUGGUGGAUGAUAGUUGGGUUAUUUUGCUUUCUUAUGCUUCGGGAAAUAUCUCUCUGUGCGAGGAUAUUCCAAUCAUUUUUCCAAGUGAAGAUGCAUCCUCGGAGCAAAAGUUGGUGGUACGCUUCCCUAGGAAAGGUAUUACCAACUUUCCUUCUGGCUCUUCUUUUAUUCAUGAGUGGAAGAGUCCAUUCUUCUUGAUGUCCUCUUCGACCCCAUGGAGGUUUCCAAUCGAGUGGGGGUCAUUAGAGAAAUCUGCAUUACUAGAUCUUCUGAAGCUGUUUGAGGUGGAAGGGUUAAUGGUCGAGGAGUUGAAGCAGCUUAAAGUUCCACCAUACUUUGAUCUUCGGCAUGAGGAUCUCCUUAGGAAACUAUACUUUAGAGGUCCAAUUUUAAGAGGUCCGGAGGAGUUGAAGGGGCCGACCAGCACUGAUCCUCCCAGGGAGAAGGAGAACAAGGGGAGGGUUGUCCUAUCACCUUCUCCCGAGGCUGUUGCAGUCGAGGCUGCGAAGUAGAGAAAUGGUCGAAGAAGAAGCACGCUGCUCCUUCUAAGGCUGUAGAGGUCAUCACGGUAGACAUUGUUCCUACGUGGAGUGAUCCUCUCAAGGCUACGGGAGUGUUUGUAGGAGUGAACACUCUUGCUAUUCCAGAUGCUCUCCAACCUCUUGCUGGCAGUUCAAUGCCAGCUGUCGAGGCUUACAUAAAGCUGUUGGAAGAGUUGGUGCUUUCGGCUGAUAGAGAGAAGCUGUUGGUGUGAUCCUUCGAGGACUAUCUUUGAGGCUUCUUUUGCACUGCCGCCAAGGGAGCUUUCGAGAUGUGGAGCCUACUUCAGCGGGCUUGACGCUUAGAGGAAGAAGUUCGCCAGUCUUGCCACCUUCUCCAGGUGGCUAAGGAGGAGCGAGAUGAAGCUAUAAGAGAGUUGCAUAUCAUUAUAUCGUAGUUGGGAGAGCAACUCCCUGCUGAGAAGUCCCAGGCUGAUGCUGUAGAGAUUGCUUUGGAAGAAGCCAAGAACUCUUAAAAUAAGGGUCACUCAACUCUGGAAGAGCGAAACCGAGGCUGCAUGUCUACGAGACUGGCUGGCUGAGAUCGAAAGGAGUGAACGCCAGGCUAGAGAAGAGGUGGCUUAAGCAAGGGUGCCCAUUCUUAGCUAGCGGAGAAAGUUGCUCCUAUCAAGCAUCGCCUCAUGGAACCUAUUGCUAAGGGCAUGGAGGCCUUCAAACAGGGUGACCACUUCCAUCAAGAGUUGCUGAGGUUGUGUCGGGAAGCCUUCUUUAUAGGCUUCGAUGAAUGCAAGAAGUUGGGAAUGUGUUUCUCGGGGAUCGACCUUAGCUGUAUACCCGUCUUGACCUCAUCCUCCUCAAGCAGUGGUUCGGCUGAUGCGGAAGGGGACAAAGAUGUGGUGACACUAAGUCGCACCCUUGAUAAGUUUCUUUUCCUUCUUUGUAACUUAGUGGUAGAAUCUCAAUCUUUGUGACUUAAGAGUAGCCAUUGGAAUGAAUGAAUCCUUUUGAGUCUUCAAUUUUCCCUCUUUUCUUCUUUUUCUACUGAUCUAUCUUGCGUGCAUCUUCAUGCCUUGUUUUCUUGAUUAAACAAGGAUGAGAGUCAAUAGAUAGGAACUUCUGGCUAACCUGCCAAAGAAGAAGAGGAAGACUAGCCAUGCAGAGAUCACUCUUGGAGUUGGGCCGAGUCGAGGAAAGGAAGAAUUGGGUUCUACUACUGAGGUUCCUGGCAAGAUCUCUCCAAACGGGCCUUCUUCAAGCAUGGUUGGGGAUAUGUCUCAAGUUGGAGUAGGGGUCGGUGACCAACCCAUCGGAACUAUCACGAUGAGCCUAUCAAAGACCAAAGGAGACCUUUUCGAUGUAGGGCCACUUCUGGAUGCGUCAGAGGCUCCAUCUGUCGGUGCAGGGAUUGAACCGAGGCAGUAGGACAACUUGCCAAGCCAAGGCCGGAUGUAUCUGACCCUAUGGCGAUCCCCUUAGAUGCGGUGGGAACCGCGAGCCAAGGUGUUGCAAUCGAGGCUCCGUCCGGUGCCAUCACCGAGGGCUUGGAUAUGGCGGCCAGGGCACCUCAAGCAUCUUAUGCAGAGGCUAGAGGCCAACUUGCAAGGAUGACUCUAAACGAUGCAGGUGUAGCAGCUCUCGUCGAAGUUAAGGAAGAGGAGGUUGAGGAAGAACUAGCUGAGACUGUGGGAAAGGUUGCAGGCUCUCCUUUGCAUGCGGUCGGGGUGUUGUCUUCCCAUCCACUAAUCGUGCUUUUCUUGCCCGCCCCUCUUGAGUGAGCUCCUUGUCCCUUCACUCCCAGAUGGACGAUCCUGGAGGAUGGGACUACCAUCUUUGAUCAUAUAUGGGCAUGGGAGAUGAUCAAGGGAUGAUACCUCCAAGGGAUGAAGAGUAUCCCUUGGGCAUGACUAUUGAGGAGGGACUCUCUAGUUCGUAUCAUUAAAACUAUAAGAGGCAACAAAUAGAUUGUGGAGGUCUAAAAUUCAAUCAAGGAGCGUCACUAUUAUAUCCAUGGUUUUGAGAAUCGGAUCGAACCACCAGGUUCAAGGCAUACCGAGCUGAAUCGGUGUGGAAUUGGGUCAGUUCGGCCCUAGUUUUCGGCACUCGACAAGAAAAGAAAUUAAAAAAAUAAAAAAAAAACUGCUUGGUUCAGCCUGAAAUCGGACGGUACGAGCUUUAUCGAGCUAAACUGUCUGGUUUGACAUCAUUUUUAUCUUCUGAUAUAGAGAAGUCUUUCGACUUCUAUGUUUCUCAAUCUCUCUCUCUCCCUUUCUCACUUCCUAACACUGAGAGUGGUAGGAAGACUCCAAGAAUACAUGGAUUAAAGUCCUUUCAAGUAUA